UACGGAGGGUGCAAACGUUGCUCGGAAUCAUUGGGCGUAAAGCGCACGUAGGUGGCUUGUUAAGUCGGGUGUGAAAUCCCUGGGCUCAACCCAGGAAGUGCACUCGAAACUGGCGAGCUUGAGUACUGAAGAGGGUCGCGGAAUUCCCGGUGUAGAGGUGAAAUUCGUAGAUAUCGGGAGGAACACCAGUGGCGAAGGCGGCGAUCUGGGAAGAUACUGACGCUGAGGUGCGAAAGCUAGGGGAGCAAACAGG
This 253-nucleotide ribosomal RNA is filed under the name uncultured bacterium. RNAcentral describes it as "partial 16S ribosomal RNA". It matches the Rfam family "Bacterial small subunit ribosomal RNA", at positions 524 to 776 of the family's 1533-position model. The record is from RNAcentral.